This 857-nucleotide ribosomal RNA is filed under the name Mycobacterium tuberculosis. RNAcentral describes it as "bacterial SSU rRNA". It matches the Rfam family "Bacterial small subunit ribosomal RNA", at positions 96 to 951 of the family's 1533-position model. Lineage: Bacteria; Bacillati; Actinomycetota; Actinomycetes; Mycobacteriales; Mycobacteriaceae. The record is from RNAcentral.
UGGCGAACGGGUGAGUAACACGUGGGUGAUCUGCCCUGCACUUCGGGAUAAGCCUGGGAAACUGGGUCUAAUACCGGAUAGGACCACGGGAUGCAUGUCUUGUGGUGGAAAGCGCUUUAGCGGUGUGGGAUGAGCCCGCGGCCUAUCAGCUUGUUGGUGGGGUGACGGCCUACCAAGGCGACGACGGGUAGCCGGCCUGAGAGGGUGUCCGGCCACACUGGGACUGAGAUACGGCCCAGACUCCUACGGGAGGCAGCAGUGGGGAAUAUUGCACAAUGGGCGCAAGCCUGAUGCAGCGACGCCGCGUGGGGGAUGACGGCCUUCGGGUUGUAAACCUCUUUCACCAUCGACGAAGGUCCGGGUUCUCUCGGAUUGACGGUAGGUGGAGAAGAAGCACCGGCCAACUACGUGCCAGCAGCCGCGGUAAUACGUAGGGUGCGAGCGUUGUCCGGAAUUACUGGGCGUAAAGAGCUCGUAGGUGGUUUGUCGCGUUGUUCGUGAAAUCUCACGGCUUAACUGUGAGCGUGCGGGCGAUACGGGCAGACUAGAGUACUGCAGGGGAGACUGGAAUUCCUGGUGUAGCGGUGGAAUGCGCAGAUAUCAGGAGGAACACCGGUGGCGAAGGCGGGUCUCUGGGCAGUAACUGACGCUGAGGAGCGAAAGCGUGGGGAGCGAACAGGAUUAGAUACCCUGGUAGUCCACGCCGUAAACGGUGGGUACUAGGUGUGGGUUUCCUUCCUUGGGAUCCGUGCCGUAGCUAACGCAUUAAGUACCCCGCCUGGGGAGUACGGCCGCAAGGCUAAAACUCAAAGGAAUUGACGGGGGCCCGCACAAGCGGCGGAGCAUGUGGAUUAAUU